AGAGUUUGAUCCUGGCUCAGAUUGAACGCUGGCGGUAGGCUUAACACAUGCAAGUCGUGCGAGAAAGUAUCUUCGGAUAUGAGUAGAGCGGCGGACGGGUGAGUAACGCGUAGGAAUCUACCUAGUAGAAGGGGAUAGCCCGAGGAAACUCGGAUUAAUACCGUAUACCUCCUUCGGGAGAAAGAAGGCCUCUCUUUGAAGCUUUCGCUACUAGAUGAGCCUGCGUAAGAUUAGCUUGUUGGUGAGGUAAAGGCUCACCAAGGCAACGAUCUUUAGCUGGUCUGAGAGGACGAUCAGCCACAUUGGGACUGAGACACGGCCCAGACUCCUACGGGAGGCAGCAGUGGGGAAUAUUGGACAAUGGGCGCAAGCCUGAUCCAGCCAUACCGCGUGUGUGAAGAAGGCCUUCGGGUUGUAAAGCACUUUAAGCAGGGAGAAAAAGUUAUAAGCUAAUACCUUAUAACCUUGAUGUUACCUGCAGAGUAAGCACCGGCUAAUUCCGUGCCAGCAGCCGCGGUAAUACGGAAGGUGCAAGCGUUAAUCGGAAUUACUGGGCGUAAAGCGCGCGUAGGUGGUUUGUUAAGUUGGAUGUGAAAGCCCUGGGCUCAACCUAGGAACUGCAUCCAAAACUAACUCACUAGAGUACGAUAGAGGGAGGUAGAAUUCAUAGUGUAGCGGUGGAAUGCGUAGAUAUUAUGAAGAAUACCAGUGGCGAAGGCGGCCUCCUGGAUCUGUACUGACACUGAGGUGCGAAAGCGUGGGUAGCGAACAGGAUU
This 776-nucleotide ribosomal RNA is filed under the name uncultured bacterium. RNAcentral's name for it is "bacterial SSU rRNA". It matches the Rfam family "Bacterial small subunit ribosomal RNA", at positions 8 to 779 of the family's 1533-position model. The record is from RNAcentral.